UAUUAUGUUUCUAGCCAUAGCCAAGUGCAAC
Molecule: small RNA, 31 nt
Filed under: Bombyx mori (domestic silkworm)
Lineage: Eukaryota; Metazoa; Arthropoda; Insecta; Lepidoptera; Bombycidae
Description: ovarian small RNA-24133
Source: RNAcentral